This 484-nucleotide ribosomal RNA is filed under the name uncultured bacterium. RNAcentral's name for it is "partial 16S ribosomal RNA". It matches the Rfam family "Bacterial small subunit ribosomal RNA", at positions 29 to 507 of the family's 1533-position model. The record is from RNAcentral.
AUUGAACGCUGGCGGCAGGCCUAACACAUGCAAGUCGAGCGGAUGAAGGGAGCUUGCUCCUGGAUUCAGCGGCGGACGGGUGAGUAAUGCCUAGGAAUCUGCCUGGUAGUGGGGGAUAACGUCCGGAAACGGGCGCUAAUACCGCAUACGUCCUGAGGGAGAAAGUGGGGGAUCUUCGGACCUCACGCUAUCAGAUGAGCCUAGGUCGGAUUAGCUAGUUGGUGGGGUAAAGGCCUACCAAGGCGACGAUCCGUAACUGGUCUGAGAGGAUGAUCAGUCACAUUGGAACGGAGACCGGGCCCGACCCCCUCGGGGAGGAAGCAGGGGGGAUUUUUGGAAAAGGGGCAAAAGCUGAACCGAGCAAUCCGGGGGGUGGGAAGAAGGUCUUGGAAUUGUAAAGCACUUUAAGUGGGGAGGAAGGGCAGUAAGUAAAUACCUUGCUGUUUUGACGUUACCAAAAAAAAAAGCCCCGGCAACCUCCGUG